RNAcentral lists this ribosomal RNA (540 nucleotides) under uncultured bacterium. Its description in RNAcentral is "partial 16S ribosomal RNA". It matches the Rfam family "Bacterial small subunit ribosomal RNA", at positions 355 to 887 of the family's 1533-position model. The record is from RNAcentral.
UAGGGAAUCUUCGGCAAUGGACGAAAGUCUGACCGAGCAACGCCGCGUGAGUGAAGAAGGUUUUCGGAUCGUAAAACUCUGUUGGUAGAGAAGAACGUUGGUGAGAGUGGAAAGCUCAUCAAGUGACGGUAACUACCCAGAAAGGGACGGCUAACUACGUGCCAGCAGCCGCGGUAAUACGUAGGUCCCGAGCGUUGUCCGGAUUUAUUGGGCGUAAAGCGAGCGCAGGUGGUUUAUUAAGUCUGGUGUAAAAGGCAGUGGCUCAACCAUUGUAUGCAUUGGAAACUGGUAGACUUGAGUGCAGGAGAGGAGAGUGGAAUUCCAUGUGUAGCGGUGAAAUGCGUAGAUAUAUGGAGGAACACCGGUGGCGAAAGCGGCUCUCUGGCCUGUAACUGACACUGAGGCUCGAAAGCGUGGGGAGCAAACAGGAUUAGAUACCCUGGUAGUUCACGCCGUAAACGAUGAGUGCUAGAUGUAGGGAGCUAUAAGUUCUCUGUAUCGCAGCUAACGCAAUAAGCACUCCGCCUGGGGAGUACGACC